RNAcentral lists this ribosomal RNA (573 nucleotides) under uncultured Achromobacter sp. RNAcentral describes it as "bacterial SSU rRNA". It matches the Rfam family "Bacterial small subunit ribosomal RNA", at positions 220 to 785 of the family's 1533-position model. The record is from RNAcentral. Lineage: Bacteria; Pseudomonadati; Pseudomonadota; Betaproteobacteria; Burkholderiales; Alcaligenaceae.
AUAGAGCGGCCCGAUAUCGGAAUAGCUAGUGGGUGGGGUAACGGCUCACCCAGGCGACGAUCCGUAGCUGGUUUGAGAGGACGACCAGCCACACUGGGACUGAGACACGGCCCAGACUCCUACGGGAGGCAGCAGUGGGGAAUUUUGGACAAUGGGGGAAACCCUGAUCCAGCCAUCCCGCGUGUGCGAUGAAGGCCUUCGGGUUGUAAAGCACUUUUGGCAGGAAAGAAACGUCAUGGGCUAAUACCCCGUGAAACUGACGGUACCUGCAGAAUAAGCACCGGCUAACUACGUGCCAGCAGCCGCGGUAAUACGUAGGGUGCAAGCGUUAAUCGGAAUUACUGGGCGUAAAGCGUGCGCAGGCGGUUCGGAAAGAAAGAUGUGAAAUCCCAGAGCUUAACUUUGGAACUGCAUUUUUAACUACCGAGCUAGAGUGUGUCAGAGGGAGGUGGAAUUCCGCGUGUAGCAGUGAAAUGCGUAGAUAUGCGGAGGAACACCGAUGGCGAAGGCAGCCUCCUGGGAUAACACUGACGCUCAUGCACGAAAGCGUGGGGAGCAAACAGGAUUAGAUAC